RNAcentral lists this ribosomal RNA (1186 nucleotides) under Microbacterium natoriense. RNAcentral's name for it is "bacterial SSU rRNA". It matches the Rfam family "Bacterial small subunit ribosomal RNA", at positions 153 to 1350 of the family's 1533-position model. The record is from RNAcentral. Lineage: Bacteria; Bacillati; Actinomycetota; Actinomycetes; Micrococcales; Microbacteriaceae.
GAAACGGCGUUCUAAUACUGGAUACGAACCGCCAGCCGCAUGGCUAGUGGUUGGAAAGAUUUUUCGGUCUGGGAUGGGCUCACGGCCCUAUCAGCUUGUUGGUGAGGUAAUGGCUCCCCAAGGCGUCGACGGGUAGCCGCCCUGAGAGGGUGACCGGCCACACUGGGACUGAGACACGGCCCAGACUCCUACGGGAGGCAGCAGUGGGGAAUAUUGCACAAUGGGCGAAAGCCUGAUGCAGCAACGCCGCGUGAGGGAUGACGGCCUUCGGGUUGUAAACCUCUUUUAGCAGGGAAGAAGCGAAAGUGACGGUACCUGCAGAAAAAGCGCCGGCUAACUACGUGCCAGCAGCCGCGGUAAUACGUAGGGCGCAAGCGUUAUCCGGAAUUAUUGGGCGUAAAGAGCUCGUAGGCGGUUUGUCGCGUCUGCUGUGAAAUCCCGAGGCUCAACCUCGGACCUGCAGUGGGUACGGGCAGACUAGAGUGCGGUAGGGGAGAUUGGAAUUCCUGGUGUAGCGGUGGAAUGCGCAGAUAUCAGGAGGAACACCGAUGGCGAAGGCAGAUCUCUGGGCCGUAACUGACGCUGAGGAGCGAAAGGGUGGGGAGCAAACAGGCUUAGAUACCCUGGUAGUCCACCCCGUAAACGUUGGGAACUAGUUGUGGGGUCCUUUCCACGGAUUCCGUGACGCAGCUAACGCAUUAAGUUCCCCGCCUGGGGAGUACGGCCGCAAGGCUAAAACUCAAAGGAAUUGACGGGGACCCGCACAAGCGGCGGAGCAUGCGGAUUAAUUCGAUGCAACGCGAAGAACCUUACCAAGGCUUGACAUAUACGAGAACGGGCCAGAAAUGGUCAACUCUUUGGACACUCGUAAACAGGUGGUGCAUGGUUGUCGUCAGCUCGUGUCGUGAGAUGUUGGGUUAAGUCCCGCAACGAGCGCAACCCUCGUUCUAUGUUGCCAGCACGUUAUGGUGGGAACUCAUGGAAUACUGCCGGGGUCAACUCGGAGGAAGGUGGGGAUGACGUCAAAUCAUCAUGCCCCUUAUGUCUUGGGCUUCACGCAUGCUACAAUGGCCGGUACAAAGGGCUGCGAUACCGUAAGGUGGAGCGAAUCCCAAAAAGCCGGUCCCAGUUCGGAUUGAGGUCUGCAACUCGACCUCAUGAAGUGGAGUCGCUAGAAUCGCAGUCA